Molecule: ribosomal RNA, 1007 nt
Filed under: Paraburkholderia sediminicola
Lineage: Bacteria; Pseudomonadati; Pseudomonadota; Betaproteobacteria; Burkholderiales; Burkholderiaceae
Description: bacterial SSU rRNA
Rfam family: Bacterial small subunit ribosomal RNA
Source: RNAcentral
AGUCGAACGGCAGCACGGGAGCAAUCCUGGUGGCGAGUGGCGAACGGGUGAGUAAUACAUCGGAACGUGUCCUGUAGUGGGGGAUAGCCCGGCGAAAGCCGGAUUAAUACCGCAUACGCUCUACGGAGGAAAGGGGGGGAUCUCAGGACCUCCCGCUACAGGGGCGGCCGAUGGCAGAUUAGCUAGUUGGUGGGGUAAAGGCCUACCAAGGCGACGAUCUGUAGCUGGUCUGAGAGGACGACCAGCCACACUGGGACUGAGACACGGCCCAGACUCCUACGGGAGGCAGCAGUGGGGAAUUUUGGACAAUGGGCGAAAGCCUGAUCCAGCAAUGCCGCGUGUGUGAAGAAGGCCUUCGGGUUGUAAAGCACUUUUGUCCGGAAAGAAAACCUCCGCCCUAAUAUGGUGGGGGGAUGACGGUACCGGAAGAAUAAGCACCGGCUAACUACGUGCCAGCAGCCGCGGUAAUACGUAGGGUGCAAGCGUUAAUCGGAAUUACUGGGCGUAAAGCGUGCGCAGGCGGUCCGCUAAGACAGAUGUGAAAUCCCCGGGCUUAACCUGGGAACUGCAUUUGUGACUGGCGGGCUAGAGUAUGGCAGAGGGGGGUAGAAUUCCACGUGUAGCAGUGAAAUGCGUAGAGAUGUGGAGGAAUACCGAUGGCGAAGGCAGCCCCCUGGGCCAAUACUGACGCUCAUGCACGAAAGCGUGGGGAGCAAACAGGAUUAGAUACCCUGGUAGUCCACGCCCUAAACGAUGUCAACUAGUUGUUGGGGAUUCAUUUCCUUAGUAACGUAGCUAACGCGUGAAGUUGACCGCCUGGGGAGUACGGUCGCAAGAUUAAAACUCAAAGGAAUUGACGGGGACCCGCACAAGCGGUGGAUGAUGUGGAUUAAUUCGAUGCAACGCGAAAAACCUUACCUACCCUUGACAUGUAUGGAAUCCUGCUGAGAGGUGGGAGUGCCCGAAAGGGAGCCAUAACACAGGUGCUGCAUGGCUGUCGUCAGCUC